CCUACGGGCUGCAGCAGUGGGGAAUAUUGGGCAAUGGGCGCAAGCCUGACCCAGCAACGCCGCGUGAAGGAAGAAGGCUUUCGGGUUGUAAACUUCUUUUCUGAGGGGCGAAGAAAGUGACGGUCCCUCAGGAAUAAGCCACGGCUACCUACGUGCCCGCAGCCGCGGUAAUACGUAGGUGGCAAGCGUUAUCCGGAUUUAUUGGGUGUAAAGGGCGUGUAGGCGGGAAAGCAAGUCAGAUGUGAAAACUCAGGGCUCAACCCUGAGCCUGCAUUUGAAACUGUUUUUCUUGAGUGCUGGAGAGGCAAUCGGAAUGCCGUGUGUAGCGGUGAAAUGCGUAGAUAUACGGAGGAACACCAGUGGCGAAGGCGGAUUGCUGGACAGUAACUGACGCUGAGGCGCGAAAGCGUGGGGAGCAAACAGGAUUAGAUACCCCGGUAGUC
This 443-nucleotide ribosomal RNA is filed under the name uncultured bacterium. Its description in RNAcentral is "partial 16S ribosomal RNA". It matches the Rfam family "Bacterial small subunit ribosomal RNA", at positions 338 to 795 of the family's 1533-position model. The record is from RNAcentral.